UUACGAUAUGAUAGCACGUUGAAGACACUAGUUCCCCAUAGAUCACUGAAGUUAAGCAAUUUUGCGAGUGGUUGGUAUCCAGAUUCGUGACCAUCUGGGCAAUCACAUUCGAUAA
RNAcentral lists this ribosomal RNA (115 nucleotides) under Diaphorina citri (Asian citrus psyllid). The record is from RNAcentral. Lineage: Eukaryota; Metazoa; Arthropoda; Insecta; Hemiptera; Psyllidae.